RNAcentral lists this transfer RNA (74 nucleotides) under Ixodes scapularis (black-legged tick). It matches the Rfam family "tRNA". From Rfam's summary of the family: Transfer RNA (tRNA) molecules are approximately 80 nucleotides in length. Lineage: Eukaryota; Metazoa; Arthropoda; Arachnida; Ixodida; Ixodidae. The record is from Rfam by way of RNAcentral.
ACCGGGAGGGUCUAAUCGGUUAAGACGUCGCCCCUGAUAGGCGAAAGUUGUGGCUUCGAUCCCCGCUCCUGGUU